AGAUUGAACGCUGGCGGCAGGCCUAACACAUGCAAGUCGAGCGGUAGAGAGGUGCUUGCACCUCUUGAGAGCGGCGGACGGGUGAGUAAAGCCUAGGAAUCUGCCUGGUAGUGGGGGAUAACGCUCGGAAACGGACGCUAAUACCGCAUACGUCCUACGGGAGAAAGCAGGGGACCUUCGGGCCUUGCGCUAUCAGAUGAGCCUAGGUCGGAUUAGCUAGUUGGUGAGGUAAUGGCUCACCAAGGCGACGAUCCGUAACUGGUCUGAGAGGAUGAUCAGUCACACUGGAACUGAGACACGGUCCAGACUCCUACGGGAGCAGCAGUGGGGAAUA
RNAcentral lists this ribosomal RNA (334 nucleotides) under uncultured soil bacterium. Its description in RNAcentral is "bacterial SSU rRNA". It matches the Rfam family "Bacterial small subunit ribosomal RNA", at positions 26 to 363 of the family's 1533-position model. The record is from RNAcentral.